UACGUAGGUGGCAAGCGUUGUCCGGAAUUAUUGGGCGUAAAGCGCGCGCAGGCGGCCUUUUAAGUCUGAUGUGAAAGCCCACGGCUCAACCGUGGAAGGUCAUUGGAAACUGAAAGGCUUGAGUACAGAAGAGGAAAGCGGAAUUCCACGUGUAGCGGUGAAAUGCGUAGAGAUGUGGAGGAACACCAGUGGCGAAGGCGGCCUUCUGGACCAAUACUGACGCUCAUGCACGAAAGCGUGGGGAGCAAACAGG
This 253-nucleotide ribosomal RNA is filed under the name uncultured bacterium. RNAcentral describes it as "partial 16S ribosomal RNA". It matches the Rfam family "Bacterial small subunit ribosomal RNA", at positions 524 to 776 of the family's 1533-position model. The record is from RNAcentral.